UGGCGGGGCUGCCUCCCCGUCCUUCUCCUCACCGUCCAGUCCGUCUCCUGUCGAGGCAGCCGGAGGGGCCUCAGACAACCCAACGGGGGAGGUGGAGCGGGCGGGGGAGGAAAGCCUGGCUCUGC
Herpailurus yagouaroundi (jaguarundi) is the source of this 125-nucleotide long non-coding RNA. RefSeq lists it as uncharacterized. NCBI's taxonomy places the organism in Eukaryota, Metazoa, Chordata, Mammalia, Carnivora, Felidae. The record is from RefSeq and is a predicted model, not a curated record. The transcript has 3 exons.